Molecule: ribosomal RNA, 821 nt
Filed under: Isoptericola sp. WS_29M
Lineage: Bacteria; Bacillati; Actinomycetota; Actinomycetes; Micrococcales; Promicromonosporaceae
Description: bacterial SSU rRNA
Rfam family: Bacterial small subunit ribosomal RNA
Source: RNAcentral
CUGGAAUUCCUGGUGUAGCGGUGGAAUGCGCAGAUAUCAGGAGGAACACCGAUGGCGAAGGCAGGUCUCUGGGCCGCAACUGACGCUGAGGAGCGAAAGCAUGGGGAGCGAACAGGAUUAGAUACCCUGGUAGUCCAUGCCGUAAACGUUGGGCACUAGGUGUGGGACUCAUUCCACGAGUUCCGUGCCGCAGCUAACGCAUUAAGUGCCCCGCCUGGGGAGUACGGCCGCAAGGCUAAAACUCAAAGGAAUUGACGGGGGCCCGCACAAGCGGCGGAGCAUGCGGAUUAAUUCGAUGCAACGCGAAGAACCUUACCAAGGCUUGACAUGCACCGGACGCUGCCAGAGAUGGUGGUUCCGCAAGGUCGGUGCACAGGUGGUGCAUGGUUGUCGUCAGCUCGUGUCGUGAGAUGUUGGGUUAAGUCCCGCAACGAGCGCAACCCUUGUCCUAUGUUGCCAGCGGGUUAUGCCGGGGACUCAUGGGAGACUGCCGGGGUCAACUCGGAGGAAGGCGGGGAUGACGUCAAAUCAUCAUGCCCCUUAUGUCUUGGGCUUCACGCAUGCUACAAUGGCCGGUACAGAGGGCUGCGAUACCGUAAGGUGGAGCGAAUCCCAAAAAGCCGGUCUCAGUUCGGAUUGGGGUCUGCAACUCGACCCCAUGAAGUCGGAGUCGCUAGUAAUCGCAGAUCAGCAACGCUGCGGUGAAUACGUUCCCGGGCCUUGUACACACCGCCCGUCAAGUCACGAAAGUUGGUAACACCCGAAGCUCACGGCCCAACCGGUUUCCCGGGGAGUGCUUGUAGAGUGAUACUAAACUCCCC